Molecule: ribosomal RNA, 447 nt
Filed under: uncultured prokaryote
Description: bacterial SSU rRNA
Rfam family: Bacterial small subunit ribosomal RNA
Source: RNAcentral
UAGGGAAUAUUGGACAAUGGGCGAAAGCCUGAUCCAGCCACGCCGCGUGAGUGAUGAAGGCCCUCGGGUCGUAAAGCUCUGUGGGGAGGGACGAAAGAAGCGGUGUAACGGCCGCAUAGUUGACGGUACCUCCUUAGCAAGCACCGGCUAACUCUGUGCCAGCAGCCGCGGUAAUACAGAGGGUGCAAACGUUGCUCGGAAUCACUGGGCGUAAAGCGCGUGUAGGCGGACCUGCAAGUCGGGUGUGAAAUCCCUGGGCUCAACCUAGGAACUGCACCCGAAACUGCAGGUCUAGAGUGUCGGAGAGGGAAGUGGAAUUCCUGGUGUAGAGGUGAAAUUCGUAGAUAUCAGGAGGAACACCGGUGGCGAAGGCGACUUCCUGGACGACUACUGACGCUGAGACGCGAAAGCGUGGGGAGCAAACAGGAUUAGAUACCCCCGUAGUCC